CAGUAGCACUGGUUGUUAGUUUUGGUGAAAAUUAUCAUCAUCGUAGUAUAUUAUUGCAUUAAUAUCAGCAUAUCACGUCCACAAGUUUCCCAUUGCUAUUUUGGUUGAUUUGUGUUCGUAAAAUGGGAUGAAUCCGAUAAGACCGAAAGCUGAUGUAAAAAUGGUGAAAUACAUGCUCCUGGAUCAGUCGGAGAUGCAGCUUGAUGAAAAUGAGAAUUGUACAUGGCGUUGGGAGAUGCAUCUGCAGCAGUGAUGCUGACCCGGAGCUGAAGGCUUUCCCUCCACGGGCCUCUCGCUCAACUGUGCUUCACUUUGGCUCACAGAGUAGCCUCAGACCUUCACCUCGUUCAUCAGGUUGGCAUUGGAUCAUAUAAUUUCGAUGUUGGAAAUGUCUUCAGAAAUCUUUACUCUGGCUGUUCAGUAAUUUCAUUACGUAAUUCAACUGGUAAGUAUCUAAAGCCAAAUUAGCUAAAGCAAACUUUAUUAUUUUUAAGCCUUAAAUUUAUGUCUGAGAUAAAUAAAAAUGUCUGCAAUGUAUUAAA
This is a non-coding RNA of Danio rerio (zebrafish), 542 nucleotides long. The record is from RefSeq and is a predicted model, not a curated record. NCBI's taxonomy places the organism in Eukaryota, Metazoa, Chordata, Actinopteri, Cypriniformes, Danionidae.